Molecule: transfer RNA, 65 nt
Filed under: Halice sp. JL-2018
Lineage: Eukaryota; Metazoa; Arthropoda; Malacostraca; Amphipoda; Pardaliscidae
Description: tRNA-Trp
Source: RNAcentral
UAAAUUUUAAGUUAUAAAAAACUAUAAACCUUCAAAGUUUAAAAUGAGAGUAUUCUUAAGUUUAA